GAAGUUCCUGACUCAAUAGACUUCACAGCUACUGGGUGUCUCGUCCAUCACCACAUUGAAGAUGGUUGGUCAGCCACAGAGACAAAGGGCAGGGAGAUCCAGAGCCUUCAAUAAAUCCUGCAGUGAGGUAAUCAGGAUGUUCCUAACUUCUGUCUCAUCCAUCACCUCAUUGAAGCUGGUUGGUCAGCCUGAGAGAGAUGGAGAGGGAGAUCUGGAGCCUUCAGUAAGUCCUGCAGCCGGAAAGUGCUGACUCAAUAGAUUUCCCAAUUGCUGUGUGUCUCGUCCAACACCUCUUUGAAGAUGAUUGGUCAGCCAGAGAGACAAAGGAUGGGAGAUGUGGAGCCUUCAAUAAAUCCUGCAGUGAGGUACUCCCAGCUGCUGUGUGUCUCGUCCAUCACAACAUUGAAGACGGUUGGUCAGCCAGAGAGACAAAGGACAGGGAGAUCUAAAGCCUUCAAUAAA
Long non-coding RNA from Hemiscyllium ocellatum (epaulette shark), 462 nucleotides. RefSeq lists it as uncharacterized. NCBI's taxonomy places the organism in Eukaryota, Metazoa, Chordata, Chondrichthyes, Orectolobiformes, Hemiscylliidae. The transcript has 4 exons. The record is from RefSeq and is a predicted model, not a curated record.